CUGACGGUGCAACGCCGCGUGAACGACGAAGGUUUUCGGAUCGUAAAGUUCUGUUGUGAGGGAAGAACACGUGCCGGUCAAACAGGCCGGCGCCUUGACGGUACCUCACGAGAAAGCCCCGGCUAACUACGUGCCAGCAGCCGCGGUAAUACGUAGGGGGCAAGCGUUGUCCGGAAUUAUUGGGCGUAAAGCGCGCGCAGGCGGUCUUGUAAGUCUGAUGUGAAAGCCCACGGCUCAACCGUGGAGGGUCAUUGGAAACUGCAGGACUUGAGUGUAGGAGAGGAAAGUGGAAUUCCACGUGUAGCGGUGAAAUGCGUAGAUAUGUGGAGGAACACCAGUGGCGAAGGCGACUUUCUGGCCUACAACUGACGCUGAGGCGCGAAAGCGUGGGGAGCAAACAGGAUUAGAUACCCUGGUAGUCCACGCCGUAAACGAUGAGUGCUAGGUGUUAGGGGUUUCGAUGCCCUUAGUGCCGAAGUUAACACAUUAAGCACUCCGCCUGGGGAGUACGGCCGCAAGGCUGAAACUCAAAGGAAUUGACGGGGGCCCGCACAAGCAGUGGAGCAUGUGGUUUAAUUCGACGCAACGCGAAGAACCUUACCAGGUCUUGACAUCCGUUGACCGCUCUGGAGACAGAGUUUUCCCCUUCGGGGGACAACGUGACAGGUGGUGCAUGGUUGUCGUCAGCUCGUGUCGUGAGAUGUUGGGU
RNAcentral lists this ribosomal RNA (709 nucleotides) under Bacillus sp. LAR6P13. RNAcentral describes it as "bacterial SSU rRNA". It matches the Rfam family "Bacterial small subunit ribosomal RNA", at positions 383 to 1080 of the family's 1533-position model. Lineage: Bacteria; Bacillati; Bacillota; Bacilli; Caryophanales; Bacillaceae. The record is from RNAcentral.